AACGAACGCUGGCGGCAUGCCUAACACAUGCAAGUCGAACGAGACCUUCGGGUCUAGUGGCGCACGGGUGCGUAACACGUGGGAAUCUGCCCUUUGCUUCGGAAUAACAGUUAGAAAUGACUGCUAAUACCGGAUGAUGUCGAAAGACCAAAGAUUUAUCGGCAAAGGAUGAGCCCGCGUAGGAUUAGGUAGUUGGUGGGGUAAAGGCCUACCAAGCCGACGAUCCUUAGCUGGUCUGAGAGGAUGAUCAGCCACACUGGGACUGAGACACGGCCCAGACUCCUACGGGAUGCAGCAGUGGGGAAUAUUGGACAAUGGGCGAAAGCCUGAUCCAGCAAUGCCGCGUGAGUGAUGAAGGCCUUAGGGUUGUAAAGCUCUUUUACCAGGGAUGAUAAUGACAGUACCUGGAGAAUAAGCUCCGGCUAACUCCGUG
RNAcentral lists this ribosomal RNA (433 nucleotides) under uncultured bacterium. Its description in RNAcentral is "partial 16S ribosomal RNA". It matches the Rfam family "Bacterial small subunit ribosomal RNA", at positions 29 to 507 of the family's 1533-position model. The record is from RNAcentral.